GGAGUUAGCCGGUGCUUCUUCUGCGAGUAACGUCACAGAUGUAAGGUAUUAACUUACACCCUUUCCUCCUCGCUGAAAGUGCUUUACAACCCGAAGGCCUUCUUCACACACGCGGCAUGGCUGCAUCAGGGUUUCCCCCAUUGUGCAAUAUUCCCCACUGCUGCCUCCCGUAGGAGUCUGGGCCGUGUCUCAGUCCCAGUGUGGCUGAUCAUCCUCUCAGACCAGCUAGGGAUCGUCGCCUAGGUGAGCCUUUACCUCACCUACUAGCUAAUCCCACCUGGGCUUAUCCAUCAGCGCAAGGCCCGAAGGUCCCCUGCUUUCCCCCGUAGGGCGUAUGCGGUAUUAGCAGUCGUUUCCAACUGUUAUCCCCCACAAAUGGGCAAAUUCCCAGGCAUUACUCACCCGUCCGCCGCUCGUCAUCUUCAAAGCAAGCUUUUGAAUGUUACCGCUCGACUUGCAUGUGUUAGGCCUGCCGCCAGCGUUCAAUCUGAGCCAUGAUCAAACUCUGA
This 509-nucleotide ribosomal RNA is filed under the name uncultured bacterium. RNAcentral describes it as "partial 16S ribosomal RNA". The record is from RNAcentral.